AACUUUUGGCAAUGGAUCACUCGGCUUUCGUAUCGAUGAAGAACGCAGCAAAUCGCGAUAUGUAGUGUGAUCUGCCUAUAGUGAAUCAUCAAAUUUUUGAACGCAUCUUGCACCCCUGGGUAUUCCUGGGGGUACGCCUGUUUCAGUAUCAUUUUAUCUUCUUCAUCUUCUUUGGAUGGGGAAAAAUUACAAUUGGCCCUUGAGACCUGCCUUUUAGGCAACCUUCACGGCUUAAAUUCUUCGGUCAUUUGGACUGGUAAUUACCUUUUGGUAGAUUUUUUCUGCUCUCAAAGUAACCCUAUCCACCCUUUUGACCAACCACCCCAAAACACUUGAUCUGAAAUCAGGCGGGAUUACCCGCUGAACUUAAGCAUAUCAAUAAGCGGAGGCU
Molecule: unclassified non-coding RNA, 391 nt
Filed under: uncultured Absidia
Lineage: Eukaryota; Fungi; Mucoromycota; Mucoromycetes; Mucorales; Mucoraceae
Description: sequence contains ITS2
Rfam family: 5.8S ribosomal RNA (bases 1-151)
Source: RNAcentral